This 315-nucleotide unclassified non-coding RNA is filed under the name Sophora howinsula. RNAcentral describes it as "partial contains external transcribed spacer and 18S ribosomal RNA". The record is from RNAcentral. Lineage: Eukaryota; Viridiplantae; Streptophyta; Magnoliopsida; Fabales; Fabaceae.
AUGUGCCUUGGUCAGGCUUGGUCCAUCUAGGCUUCCUUUAUGAGGUUUAGUGGAUUUGAAAGUAGUGCUAGUGUUUCGCUUGAGUUGUGUGUUGUACAGCUCACGUGGUCAUUGGUAUCUACUGUUCUCCUGGAUAUGGUGCAUGCAGCUAACGUGGGCUCUUGAUUGUGCCCCGUCGAGUCCCUCGGAAUUAUCGUUUGCCAUGGAUGACGCUUGCCGUGGUGCCUGGGUUGCUUUUUCGCUUGCGGUGGCAACUCUUGCACGUCGGGCAUAGUUGUUGGUGGAUGCUACCUGGUUGAUCCUGCCAGUAGUCAU